RNAcentral lists this transfer RNA (48 nucleotides) under Garcinia spicata. Its description in RNAcentral is "partial tRNA-Phe". Lineage: Eukaryota; Viridiplantae; Streptophyta; Magnoliopsida; Malpighiales; Clusiaceae. The record is from RNAcentral.
GUCGGGAUAGCUCAGUUGAUAGAGCAAAGGACUGAAAAUCCUCGUGUC